This 21-nucleotide microRNA is filed under the name Bos taurus (domestic cattle). Its description in RNAcentral is "bta-miR-6527". The record is from miRBase by way of RNAcentral. Lineage: Eukaryota; Metazoa; Chordata; Mammalia; Artiodactyla; Bovidae.
CACGUGGACGAAGAGAUGGGA